Molecule: non-coding RNA, 498 nt
Filed under: Streptococcus pyogenes
Lineage: Bacteria; Bacillati; Bacillota; Bacilli; Lactobacillales; Streptococcaceae
Source: RNAcentral
AACCAAACUCUCAUUAGAAAGACUCUUAUGGAACAUAUCAAUCAUACCUUACAACACAUCGGAAUUAAAGACAAAAAUAUCACUCUAAACAAUGUUUUGAAGGAUGAAUCUCCUACUGAGCUCGUUACUACUUAUCAGAAAGGUAGAUAGGAAAUCCUGAUGAAGAGUGUGUCCAAGGGAUUAUCAAUUAGGUCUUAGAUUACAAAAUAGUAAUUCAGGUAUGCUCUACUGUUUUCAACACUAGUUCUGCAAUUUGUUUUCGAGCUUGCUUAGCUUCUCUUAUUGGAAAAAUAACAUACGCAUGAAUCAUUUUUUCUGCAAUAAUCAGCUGAUUAGCAAUUCGUUGUCUUGUUAAUUGAUCAUGUAAAGACAUAAUGUCUGGGUAAAAAAUCUCUUUUGUCCCAACAAAGGUCGUUAUUUCAGGCAAAUCCUCAUAAUCACCAUACAAAGGACUGACAUAAGGAAGUUGCAUAUUACCUUGACCACCUGCCCAUAGUU